This 370-nucleotide ribosomal RNA is filed under the name uncultured organism. Its description in RNAcentral is "bacterial SSU rRNA". It matches the Rfam family "Bacterial small subunit ribosomal RNA", at positions 526 to 896 of the family's 1533-position model. The record is from RNAcentral.
CGUAGGGUGCAAGCGUUAAUCGGAAUUACUGGGCGUAAAGCGUGCGCAGGCGGUUUUGUAAGACAGAGGUGAAAUCCCCGGGCUCAACCUGGGAACUGCCUUUGUGACUGCAAGGCUUGAGUGCGGCAGAGGGGGAUGGAAUUCCGCGUGUAGCAGUGAAAUGCGUAGAUAUGCGGAGGAACACCGAUGGCGAAGGCAAUCCCCUGGGCCUGCACUGACGCUCAUGCACGAAAGCGUGGGGAGCAAACAGGAUUAGAUACCCUGGUAGUCCACGCCCUAAACGAUGUCAACUGGUUGUUGGGAAGGUUCCUUCUCAGUAACGUAGCUAACGCGUGAAGUUGACCGCCUGGGGAGUACGGCCGCAAGGUUG